GGGGUUUUAUAGGGUACUUACAGGGUCCUUAUGGGGCUCUUAUGGGGUCAGGAGGGGUUUACAGGAUCCUUAAGGGGCUCUUAUGGGGUCAGGGGACUUUUAUCGCAUCCUUAUGGGGUUCUUAUGGGGUCAGGGGGGUUACAGGGUCCUUAUGGGGUAAGCGGGCUUUUAUAGGGUCCUUUUUGGGUUCUUAUGAGGUCCUUAAGAGGUGAGGGGGUUUUAUAGGGUACUUACAGGGUCCUUAUGGGGCUCUUAUGGGGUCAGGGGACUUUUACCGCAUCCUAAUGGGGUUCUUAUGGGGUCAGGAGGGUUUUAUAGGGUCCUUAUGGGGUAAGCGGGCUCUCAUAGGGUCCUUUUUGGGUUCUUAUGAGGUCCUUAAGAGGUGAGGGGGUUUUAUAGGGUACUUACAGGGUCCUUAUGGGGUUCUUAUGGGGUCAGGGGACUUUUAUCGCAUCCUUAUGGGGUUCUUAUGGGGUCAGGAGGGUUUUAUAGGGUCCUUAUGGGGUAAGCGGGCUCUCAUAGGGUCCUUUUUGGGUUCUUAUGAGGUCCUUAAGGGGUGAGGGGGUUUUAUAGGGUCCUUAUGGGGCUUUUAUGGGGUCAGGGGACUUUUAUCGCAUCCUUAUGGGGUUCUUAUAGGGUCAGGAGGGUUUUAUAGGGUCCUUAUGGGGUAAGCGGGCUCUCAUUGGGUCCUUUUUGGGUUCUUAUGAGGUCCUUAAGAGGUGAGGGGGGUUUAUAGGGUACUUACAGGGUCCUUAUGGGGCUCUUAUGGGGUCAGGGGACUUUUAUCGCAUCCUUAUGGGGUUCUUAUGGGGUCAGGGGGGUUACAGGGUCCUUAUGGGGUAAGCGGGCUUUCAUAGGGUCCUUUUUGGGUUCUUAUGAGGUCCUUAAGAGGUGAGGAGGUUUUAUAGGGUACUUACAGGGUCCUUAUGGGGCUCUUAUGGGGUCAGGGGGAUUACAGGGUCCUUAUGGGGCUCUUAUGGGGUCAGGGGACUUUUAUUGCAUCCUUAUGGGGCUCUUAUGGGGUCAGGAGGGUUUUAUAGGGUCCUUAUGGGGCUCUUAUGGGGUCAGGGGACUUUUAUCACAUCCUUAUGGGGUUCUUAUAGGGUCAGGAGGGUUUUAUAGGGUCCUUAUGGGGUAAGCGGGCUCUCAUAGGGUCCUUUUUGGGUUCUUAUGAGGUCCUUAAGAGGUGAGGGGGUUUUAUAGGGUACUUACAGGGUCCUUCUGGGGCUCUUAUGGGGUCCUAUGGGGACUUUUAUCGCAUCCUUAUGGGUUCUUAUGGGGUCAGGAGGGUUUUAUAGGGUCCUUAUGGGGUAAGCGGGCUCUCAUAGGGUCCUUUUUGGGUUCUUAUGAGGUCCUUAAGAGGUGAGGGGGGUUUAUAGGGUACUUACAGGGUCCUUAUGGGGCUCUUAUGGGGUCAGGGGAUUUUAUCGCAUCCUUAUGGGGUUCUUAUGGGGUCAGGGGGGUUACAGGGUCCUUAUGGGGUAAGCGGGCUUUCAUAGGGUCCUUUCUGGGUUCUUAUGAGGUCCUUAAGAGGUGAGGGGGUUUUAUAGGGUACUUACAGGGUCCUUAUGUGGCUCUUAUGGGGUCAGGGGACUUUUAUCGCAUCCUUAUGGGGUUCUUAUGGGGUCAGGAGGGUUUUAUAGGGUCCUUAUGGGGUAAGCGAGCUCUCAUAGGGACCUUUUUGGGUUCUUAUGAGGUCCUUAAGAGGUGAGGGGGUUUUAUAGGGUACUUACAGGGUCCUUAUGGGGCUCUUAUGGGGUCAGGGGACUUUUAUCGCAUCCUUAUGGGGUUCUUAUGGGGUCAGGGGGGUUAUAGGGUCCUUAUGGGGUAAGCAGGCUCUCAUAGGGUCCUUUUUGGGUUCUUAUGAGGUCCUUAAGGGGUGAGGGGGGUUUAUAGGGUACUUACAGAGUCCUUAUGGGGCUCUUAUGGGGUCAGGAGGGUUUUAUAGGGUCCUUAUAGGGUUCUUAUGGGGUCAGGGGGGUUACAGUGUCCUUAUGGGGUAAGCGGGCUCUCAUAGGGUCCUUUUUGGGUUCUUAUGAGGUCCUUAAGAGGUGAGGGGGUUUUAUAGGGUACUUACAGGGUCCUUAUGGGGCUCUUUUGGGGUCCUAUGGGGACUUUUAUCACAUCCUUAUGGGGUUCUUAUGGGGUCAGGAGGGUUACAGGGUCCUUAUGGGGUAAGCGGGCUCUCAUAGGGUCCUUUUUGGGUUCUUAUGAGGUCCUUAAGAGGUGAGGGGGUUUUAUAGGGUACUUACAGGGUCCUUAUGGGGCUCUUAUGGGGUCAGGAGGGUUUUAUAGGGUCCUUAUGGGGCUCUUAUGGGGUCCUAUGGGGACUUUUAUCACAUCCUUAUGGGGUUCUUAUGGGGUCACGGGGGGUUUAUAGGGUCCUUAUGGGGUAAACGGGCUUUCAUAGGGCCCUUUUUGGGUUCUUAUGAGGUCCUUAAGAGGUGAGGCGGUUUUAUAGGGUACUUACAGGGUCCUUAUGGGGCUCUUAUGGGGUCAGGGGACUUUUAUCGCAUCCUUAUGGGGUUCUUAUGGGGUCAGGAGGGGUUUAUAGGGUCCUUAUGGGGUAAGCGGGCUCUCAUAGGGUCCUUUUUGGGUUCUUAUGAGGUCCUUAAGAGGUGAGGGGGUUUUAUAGGGUACUUACAGCGUCCUUAUGGGGCUCUUAUGGGGUCAGGGGGGUUACAGUGUCCUUAUGGGGUAAGCGGGCUUUCAUAGGGUCCUUUCUGGGUUCUUAUGAGGUCCUUAAGAGGUGAGGGGGUUUUAUAGGGUACUUACAGGGUCCUUAUGGGGCUCUUAUGGGGUCCUAUGGGGACUUUUAUCGCAUCCUUAUGGGGUUCUUAUGGGGUCAGGAGGGUUACAGGGUCCUUAUGGGGUAAGCGGGCUUUCAUAGGGUCCUUUCUGGGUUCUUAUGAGGUCCUUAAGAGGUGAGGGGGUUUUAUAGGGUACUUACAGGGUCCUUAUAGGGCUCUUAUGGGGUCAGGGGACUUUUACCGCAUCCUUAUGGGGUUCUUAUGGGGUCAGGAGGGUUUUAUAGGGUCCUUAUGGGGUAAGCGGGCUUUCAUAGGGUCCUUUUUGGGUUCUUAUGAGGUCCUUAAGAGGUGAGGGGGUUUUAUAGGGUACUUACAGGGUCCUUAUGGGGCUCUUAUGGGGUCAGGGGACUUUUAUCCCAUCCUUAUGGGGUUCUUAUGGGGUCAGGAGGGGUUUAUAGGGUCCCUAUGGGGCUCUUAUGGGGUCAGGGGACAUUUAUCGCAUCCUUAUGGGGCUCUUAUGGGGUCAGGGGACUUUUAUCGCAUCCUUAUGGGGUUCUUAUGGGGUCAGGAGGGUUUUAUAGGGUCCUUAUGGGGUAAGCGAGCUUUCAUAGGGUCCUUUUUGGGUUCUUAUGAGGUCCUUAAGGGGUGAGGGGGGUUUAUAGGGUACUUACAGGGUCCUUAUGGGGCUCUUAUGGGGUCAGGAGGGUUUUAUAGGGUCCUUAUAGGUUUCUUAUGGGGUCAGGGGGGUUACAGUGUCCUUAUGGGGUAAGCGGGCUUUCAUAGGGUCCUUUUUGGGUUCUUAUGGGGUCCUUAAGAGGUGAGGGGGUUUUAUAGGGUACUUACAGGGUCCUUAUGGGGCUCUUAUGGGGUCAGGGGACUUUUAUCGCAUCCUUAUGGGGUUCUUAUGGGGUCAGAAGGGUUUUAUACGGUCUUUAUGGGGUAAGCGGGCUUUCAUAGGGUCCUUUUUGGGUUCUUAUGAGGUCCUUAAGAGGUGAGGGGGGUUUAUAGGGUACUUGCAGGGUCCUUAUGGGGCUCUUAUGGGGUCAGGAGGGUUUUAUAGGGUCCUUAUAGGGUUCUUAUGGGGUCAGGGGGGUUACAGUGUCCUUAUGGGGUAAGCGGGCUUUCAUAGGGUCCUUUUUGGGUUCUUAUGAGGUCCUUAAGAGGUGAGGGGGUUUUAUAGGGUACUUACAGGGUCCUUAUGGGGCUCUUAUGGGGUCCUAUGGGGACUUUUAUCGCAUCCUUAUGGGGUUCUUAUGGGGUCAGGAGGGUUACAGGGUCCUUAUGGGUUAAGCGGGCUUUCAUAGGGUCCUUUUUGGGUUCUUAUGAGGUCCUUAAGAGGUGAGGGGGUUUUAUAGGGUACUUACAGGCUCCUUAUGGGGCUCUUAUGGGGUCAGGGGACUUUUAUCGCAUCCUUAUGGGGUUCUUAUGGGGUCAGGGGGGUUUUAUUGGGUCCUUAUGGGGUAAGCGGGCUUUCAUAGGGUCCUUUUUGGGUUCUUAUGAGGUCCUUAAGGGGUGAGGGGGUUUUAUAGGGUACUUACAGGGUCCUUAUGGGGCUCUUAUGGGGUCAGGGGACUUUUAUCGCAUCCUUAAGGGGUUCUUAUGGGGUCAGGAGGGUUUUAUAGGGUCCUUAUGGGGUAAGCGGGCUUUCAUAGGGUCCUUUUUGGGUUCUUAUGAGGUCCUUAAGGGGUGAGGGGGGUUUAUAGGGUACUUACAGGGUCCUUAUGGGGCUCUUAUGGGGUCAGAGGGGUUAUAGGGUCCUUAUAGGGUUCUUAUGGGGUCAGGGGGGUUACAGGGUCCUUAUGGGGUAAGCGGGCUUUCAUAGGGUCCUUUUUGGGUUCUUAUGAGGUCCUUAAGGGGUGAGGGGGUUUUAUAGGGUACUUUUUGGGUCCUUAUGGGGCUCUUAUGGGGUCAGGGGACUUUAACGCAUCCUUAUGGGGUUCUUAUGGGGCUCUUAUGGGGUCCUAUGGGGACUUUUAUCGCAUCCUUAUGGGGUUCUUAUGGGGUCAGGGGGGUUACAGGGUCCUUAUGGGGUAAGCGGGCUUUCAUAGGGUCCUUUUUGGGUUCUUAUGAGGUCCUUAAGAGGUGAGGGGGUUUUAUAGGGUACUUACAGGGUCCUUAUGGGGCUCUUAUGGGGUCAGGAGGGUUUUAUAGGGUCCUUAUGGGGCUCUUAUGGGGUCCUAUGGGGACUUUUAUCACAUCCUUAUGGGGUUCUUAUGGGGUCAGGAGGGUUACAGGGUCCUUAUGGGGUAAGCGGGCUCUCAUAGGGUCCUUUUUGGGUUCUUAUGAGGUCCUUAAGAGGUGAGGGGGUUUUAUAGGGCACUUACAGGGUCCUUAUGGGGCUCUUAUGGGGUCAGGGGACUUUUAUCGCAUCCUUAUGGGGUUCUUAUGGGGUCAGGAGGGUUUUAUAGGGUCCUUAUGGGGUAAGCGGGCUCUCAUAGGGUCCUUUUUGGGUUCUUAUGAGGUCCUUAAGAGGUGAGGGGUUUUUAUAGGGUACUUACAGGGUCCUUAUGGGGCUCUUAUGGGGUCAGGAGGGUUUUAUAGGGUCCUUAUGGGGCUCUUAUGGGGUCCUAUGGGGACUUUUAUCACAUCCUUAUGGGGUUCUUAUGGGGUCACGGGGGGUUUAUAGGGUCCUUAUGGGGUAAACGGGCUUUCAUAGGGCCCUUUUUGGGUUCUUAUGAGGUCCUUAAGGGGUGAGGGGGUUUUAUAGGGUACUUACAGGGUCCUUAUGGGGCUCUUAUGGGGUCAGGGGACUUUUAUCGCAUCCUUAUGGGGUUCUUAUGGGGUCAGGAGGGGUUUAUAGGGUCCUUAUGGGGUAAGCGGGCUCUCAUAGGGUCCUUUUUGGGUUCUUAUGAGGUCCUUAAGGGGUGAGGGGGUUUUAUAGGGUACUUACAGGGUCCUUAUGUGGCUCUUAUGGGGUCAGGGGACUUUUAUCGCAUCCUUAUGGGGUUCUUAUGGGGUCAGGAGGGGUUUAUAGGGUCCUUAUGGGGUAAGUGGGCUUUCAUAGGGUCCUUUUUGGGUUCUUAUGAGGUCCUUAAGAGGUGAGGGGGUUUUAUAGGGCACUUACAGGGUCCUUAUGGGGCUCUUAUGGGGUCAGGAGGGGUUUAUAGGGUCCUUAUGGGGUAAGCGAGCUUUCAUAGGGUCCUUUUUGGGUUUUUAUGAGGUCCUUAAGAGGUGAGGGGGUUUUAUAGGGUACUUACAGGGUCCUUAUGGGGCUCUUAUGGGGUCAGGGGACUUUUAUCGCAUCCUUAUGGGGUUCUUAUGGGGUCAGGGGGGUUACAGUGUCCUUAUGGGGUAAGCGGGCUUUCAUAGGGUCCUUUUUGGGUUCUUAUGAGGUCCUUAAGAGGUGAGGGGGUUUUAUAGGGUACUUACAGGGUCCUUAUGGGGCUCUUAUGGGGUCCUAUGGGGACUUUUAU
This is a long non-coding RNA of Lagopus muta (rock ptarmigan), 6163 nucleotides long. RefSeq lists it as uncharacterized. The transcript has 3 exons. Lineage: Eukaryota; Metazoa; Chordata; Aves; Galliformes; Phasianidae. The record is from RefSeq and is a predicted model, not a curated record.